GGGAGUCCCGGUGGGUGCAAUCUGAUUGUAAAAGGAGUGAAGGGAAAGCUGGAAGGUUAAAGCACACGGCCGGAACAUACUCUGGAGAUUCUGAUGCCAAAGAUUUAUUUUUCAUCCCUCGCACAUUUGUGUUUCAAUUGACUAUGAAUACAAACAACAAUGGAUGCUAGGCAUUUUCCUAUCUCAGCGAAGUUCCCACAAUUCAGUAACAAGAACAGGACACUGGUGGUCCAGUACUCCAUCAAGUUUGAGCAGGAUAUCGAGUGCAGUGGUGGAUAUAUUAAGCUUAUGUCCGGUUAUGUCAACCAGAAAAAUUUAGUGGGGACACUCCAUAUAGUGUCUGAAUAUGAAUUGCAGCCUCUAUUGUUAGAACUGUGGAUUUUGCUGCUGAGGUACAAGAUGUGCUUAGAAAUCUUAGUGGCAACAGGGAAUCAAUGAAGGGAAUAAAGUCAUGGUUUAUGCAGAGGGCAGAGGGUGCUGUUUGUGUCGGCUCUGCCUCAAGUUCUUAAGGAAAGAGUAUUUGCCUUUAAGGAUUCAGAGGGGCAGCUGCACAUUAUUUUCCUGGUGAAUGAUAUUUUGUUUGAAAGGUAUGUUUUGAACUUCUCUUAUGGCUAUCUUGCAAUUGCAGUAUCAAAUAGGUCUUAGCCUCCAUGUUUAUUAGAGCAUACAUAACAGAAUCCCAAGCAAUAUACUGAUCUUAUUCACAUCUAAUCUUAUUGCCCCUGUUGUAGUAACAUAUCCAUUUUUUAGUGUCAGGCAUAUUUCGCCCUUUAAAUUCAUUUACAUAUCAGUUGUAUUCUGUAUUUCCUAUGAAAGACUAUUGUGCUUCGUAAAGGCCAAAUUGUUCCUUGGCAGCUAAAAUGUGUUUUAAGAAAAAGCGGACAACAAUCUAAUCCAAUCUCUUUUUACAAUGCAUAAAAUCAAUUACAGCUAGCGAAAGUACAAUGCUUUGUUUGUACUACCAGAGCUCAUGUCUAUGAACAAUAUAGGAGCAGCCAUUUAGGAUUCUAUUUUCAUUUGCCGAUGAAAGUGUUAGGCCGUUAGCUGCCAAUUCUUUAAGCACUUAAUAGUCCUUGAAAUUUUGUGUCCACAUAAACAUA
This is a long non-coding RNA of Panicum virgatum (switchgrass), 1100 nucleotides long. RefSeq lists it as uncharacterized. The record is from RefSeq and is a predicted model, not a curated record. The transcript is spliced from 3 exons. Lineage: Eukaryota; Viridiplantae; Streptophyta; Magnoliopsida; Poales; Poaceae.